This 933-nucleotide long non-coding RNA is filed under the name Lathyrus oleraceus (garden pea). RNAcentral describes it as "Pisum sativum (pea) long non-coding RNA (PSAT_LNC004910)". The record is from RNAcentral. Lineage: Eukaryota; Viridiplantae; Streptophyta; Magnoliopsida; Fabales; Fabaceae.
UUAUAUCACUGUUGUGAUUGAGGGGGAGUGAGUAGGAUCUCAUAUCUAAGAGUUCUUAGGUAGAAGUCACAUGGGUAGAGAUUAGGUGAAAAGACUGUAACUUGAAGUUGUUUACUGAGAGUCUUUGAACUGAUUCUAUUUAGUAGAUUUCCUUCCUGGCUUGGUAGCCCCCAGACGUAGGUGAGUUUGCACCGAACUGGGUUAACAAUUGCUUGUGUCUCUUGCAUUAUUGUUCUUUAUCUUUUAUCCUAUUUGUAUUGUUCAGAUAUUAGUGUUGUGACAUUACCUUCGACAUCUCAUAUUUGAUACCAGAAUUUCAAUAUUGUCUCUAGCAUUAAUGAAAAAAAGGGGCAACCUUGUUGACCUUGGUAUCACUAACAAGUCCAAUGAUACUAUAGCCAGUUGUAAUCUGAUGGAUAUUUGCCACUCUGGCCAACCUUUCACUUGGGCUAACUACAAGAAAACAACUACAUUGAAGCUAGACUUGAUAGAUUUAUUGUCUCUAACAACUUUCAUAACAAUUACAAUUAGUAUAAUAAUAGUCACCUUAUGAGGCAUACUUAUGACCACAACCCUAUUCUCUUAUGGUUUGAAACUGAUAAGAGUUGCAGGUAAAACAAUCGCACUAAGCUAACCAAAUUUGAGAAGAUUUGAACAAUCGGGGAAGAGAGCAAAGAUGUGGUAAAUGAGUAUUGGAACAUGUCACAAGCCUAUUACGAUCAUAAGAAACAACUUACGCUGCAAAAUCUCGUUGACUGGGGAAAAAAGAACUUUGGAGUUAUUCCCAAACAAAUGAAGUAGCCCCAGGAAAAUCUCCAAAAGAUCCAAGACAAAACUCCCUAUAAAAAAUAUAUGCUUGAUAUGAUAAAAGCUGAAGAAGAAGUGGACAAAUUGCUUAAACUGGAAGAAACAUGGUAGAGUCAAAGAGCCAAG